Molecule: ribosomal RNA, 420 nt
Filed under: bacterium
Lineage: Bacteria
Description: partial 16S ribosomal RNA
Rfam family: Bacterial small subunit ribosomal RNA
Source: RNAcentral
UGGGGGAUAUUGCACAAUGGGCGAAAGCCUGAUGCAGCGACGCCGCGUGGGGGAUGAAGGCUUUCGGGUUGUAAACCUCUUUCGCUAUCGAACAAGGCCCGCUUAGGGUGGGUUGAGGGUAGGUGGAGAAGAAGCGCCGGCCAACUACGUGCCAGCAGCCGCGGUAAUACGUAGGGCGCGAGCGUUGUCCGGAAUUAUUGGGCGUAAAGGGCUUGUAGGCGGCUUGUUGCGCCUGCUGUGAAAACGCGGGGCUUAACUUCGCGCGUGCAGUGGGUACGGGCAGGCUUGAGUGUGGUAGUGGUGACUGGAAUUCCAGGUGUAGCGGUGGAAUGCGCAGAUAUCUGGAGGAACACCGAUGGCGAAGGCAGGUCACUGGGCCAUUACUGACGCUGAGGAGCGAAAGCAUGGGUAGCGAACAGG